RNAcentral lists this long non-coding RNA (766 nucleotides) under Trifolium pratense (red clover). RNAcentral describes it as "long non-coding RNA (TPRA_LNC005578)". Lineage: Eukaryota; Viridiplantae; Streptophyta; Magnoliopsida; Fabales; Fabaceae. The record is from RNAcentral.
UUAUAGAUUUGGACAUCCUAAAUAAAAACUGAAUUUAUAAAAGUGGAUGACCAACCAUUUUGUGAUAGACCGGUUUAUAAUUUGUUUGUAAAUACCCGAUUAAUUGGAUAUGGUUUUGGAUUUGGACGUGGUUUUAUCCACGUGACUAGAUAUUUUGCUCACCCCUAACCACUACCAAUCGAAAUUCAUUCAAUCCAUCAAGAAGCACCUCCAUACUCACAAUCUUCUCAUAAACAAACCAUCAAUACCCAUAACCACCACCACCCAUCCAUUCAAACCUCAACAACUAUCACACAAACUCAAUCUUCAAUCAUCAAACCCUUCUUUCCAAAAUCAUAAACAGAAAACUAUAACAAAAACAUAACAGAAGCGAACGCAAAAGGUGUGAGAAAAAAAGAAAACAUUUUGCCGUGGUCGAAUCCCACCAAUCUCCUCACCGCUAUCUCCGCUCAUCACCAUCACUUCCGAUCGUGUGUCGUUGCUGGAAUUUCUGCCGCCACUCUCUCUCUCUCUCUCUCGCAGCCGCGCACCACAGAUUCUCCGCUGGCCCAUCUCCUCUCUCUCUCACUCUUUCUUCUGGUUAGCUAUUUUUCUUUCCCAUUCUUUCUCUCUGUUUUGCGUGUAGGCUAUAUUCUUGUAAAUGAAGACUUAAUUUAUUCUCUUAUAUGUCUAACUAUCCAUUUAUUUAGUUUAGUCUAUUUUUUUUCCUAUUUAAUUGUUGCAUUGGAUAUUUGGAUUCAAAGUUGAAGCCUUCUUCAACGGAAUC